Molecule: ribosomal RNA, 538 nt
Filed under: uncultured beta proteobacterium
Lineage: Bacteria; Pseudomonadati; Pseudomonadota; Betaproteobacteria
Description: bacterial SSU rRNA
Rfam family: Bacterial small subunit ribosomal RNA
Source: RNAcentral
UCCUACGGGGAAGCAGCAGUGGGGAAUCUUGGACAAUGAGGGCAACCCUGAUCCAGCAAUGCCGCGUGUGGGAUGAAGGCCUUCGGGUUGUAAACCACUUUUGGCGGGGACGAAAUAGUGAGUGCUAAUAUCAUUCGUUGAUGACGGUACCUGCAGAAUAAGCCCCGGCUAAUUACGUGCCAGCAGCCGCGGUAAUACGUAGGGUGCAAGCGUUAAUCGGAAUUACUGGGCGUAAAGCGUGCGCAGGCGGUUGAGUAAUACAGAUGUGAAAUUCCCGGGCUCAACUUGGGAAGUGCAUUUGUGACUGCUUGGCUAGAGUGCGGCAGAGGGGAGUGGAAUUCCGCGUGUAGCAGUAAAAUGCGUAGAUAUGCGGAGGAACACCGAUGGCGAAGGCAGCUCCCUGGCCCUGCACUGACGCUCACGCACGAAAGCGUGGGGAGCAAACGGGAUUAGAUCCCCUGGUAGUCCACCCCCUAACCGAUGUCGAUUAGUUUGUUGGAUCGGGUCAUCUAUUCAGUAUCGUAGCUAGCGCGUAAGU